GUGUUACUUAAGCGACAUCUAUACUAAAAUUGAAACAAUCUAGAGAAGAUUAGUGUGACCCCCGUGCACAGAGAGCAUGAAAAUUCAUGAAGCAGUACAUAUUUUU
Small nuclear RNA from Nycticebus coucang (slow loris), 106 nucleotides. The record is from RefSeq and is a predicted model, not a curated record. Lineage: Eukaryota; Metazoa; Chordata; Mammalia; Primates; Lorisidae.